UACGGAGGGUGCAAGCGUUACUCGGAAUCACUGGGCGUAAAGCGCGCGUAGGCGGGCUUUCAAGUCGGUUGUGAAAUCCCUCAGCUCAACUGAGGAACUGCAUCCGAUACUGGUUGUCUUGAGGACGAGAGGGGAGAGUGGAACUUCUGGUGGAGCGGUGAAAUGCGUAGAUAUCAGAAGGAACGCCGGUGGCGAAAGCGACUCUCUGGCUCGUAUCUGACGCUGAGGCGCGAAAGCUUGGGUAGCAAACGGG
RNAcentral lists this ribosomal RNA (253 nucleotides) under uncultured bacterium. RNAcentral describes it as "partial 16S ribosomal RNA". It matches the Rfam family "Bacterial small subunit ribosomal RNA", at positions 524 to 776 of the family's 1533-position model. The record is from RNAcentral.